UACGUAGGGUGCGAGCGUUAAUCGGAAUUACUGGGCGUAAAGCGUGCGCAGGCGGUUUUUUAAGCCAGCUGUGAAAUCCCCGGGCUCAACCUGGGCACUGCAGUUGGAACUGGCAAGCUAGAGUAGGGUAGAGGGGUGUGGAAUUCCAGGUGUAGCGGUGAAAUGCGUAGAUAUCUGGAGGAACACCGGUGGCGAAGGCGGCAUCCUGGACCGACAUUGACGCUGAGGCGCGAAAGCCAGGGGAGCAAACGGG
Molecule: ribosomal RNA, 253 nt
Filed under: uncultured bacterium
Lineage: Bacteria
Description: partial 16S ribosomal RNA
Rfam family: Bacterial small subunit ribosomal RNA
Source: RNAcentral